This 482-nucleotide ribosomal RNA is filed under the name uncultured bacterium. Its description in RNAcentral is "partial 16S ribosomal RNA". It matches the Rfam family "Bacterial small subunit ribosomal RNA", at positions 30 to 507 of the family's 1533-position model. The record is from RNAcentral.
AUUGAACGCUGGCGGCAUGCCUUACACAUGCAAGUCGAACGGUAACGGGCCUUCGGGUGCCGACGAGUGGCGCACGGGUGAGUAAUACAUCGGAACGUGCCCGAUCGUGGGGGAUAACGAGGCGAAAGCUUUGCUAAUACCGCAUACGAUCUACGGAUGAAAGCAGGGGACCGCAAGGCCUUGCGCGGACGGAGCGGCCGAUGGCAGAUUAGGUAGCUGGUGGGAUAAAAGCUUACCAAGCCGACGAUCUGUAGCUGGUCUGAGAGGAUGAUCAGCCACACUGGGACUGAGACACGGCCCAGACUCCUACGGGAGGCAGCAGUGGGGAAUUUUGGACAAUGGGCGCAAGCCUGAUCCAGCCAUGCCGCGUGCAGGAUGAAGGCCUUCGGGUUGUAAACUGCUUUUGUACGGAACGAAAAGCCUUCUUUUAAUACAGGAGGGUCAUGACGGUACCGUAAGAAUAAGCACCGGCUAACUACGUG